Non-coding RNA from Pelobates cultripes (western spadefoot toad), 233 nucleotides. The record is from the annotation of a GenBank genome assembly. Lineage: Eukaryota; Metazoa; Chordata; Amphibia; Anura; Pelobatidae.
GUAGUCAGGCACUCAUUACCUGUUUGAACUUUUCAGUUUCAAUGUAAACAUGCAAUUUAAGGCCCUACCACAAGAUGGUGCAGAGUCACAGUAAACGUAAAGUUAAAGGCAGCCGUUACUUAUAACAUACUAUGUCUGUAAAAGGCUGGUAAACGGAUGGUUUGGCUCUACUUAUUUGCCGGCUGCCUGUACUCUAAAUAUAGAAACAGAGGAGCACAGUGACAGAACUCAUC